RNAcentral lists this ribosomal RNA (253 nucleotides) under uncultured bacterium. RNAcentral describes it as "partial 16S ribosomal RNA". It matches the Rfam family "Bacterial small subunit ribosomal RNA", at positions 524 to 776 of the family's 1533-position model. The record is from RNAcentral.
GACGUAGGGCGCGAGCGUUGUCCGGAUUUAUUGGGCGUAAAGAGCUCGUAGGCGGCUUGUCGCGUCGUCCGUGAAAACCUGCGGCUCAACUGCAGGCUUGCGGUCGAUACGGGCAGGCUGGAGUUCGGUAGGGGAGACUGGAAUUCCUGGUGUAGCGGUGAAAUGCGCAGAUAUCAGGAGGAACACCGGUGGCGAAGGCGGGUCUCUGGGUCGAUACUGACGCUGAGGAGCGAAAGCGUGGGGAGCGAACAGG